This 253-nucleotide ribosomal RNA is filed under the name uncultured bacterium. RNAcentral describes it as "partial 16S ribosomal RNA". It matches the Rfam family "Bacterial small subunit ribosomal RNA", at positions 524 to 776 of the family's 1533-position model. The record is from RNAcentral.
GACGUAGGGUGCAAGCGUUGUUCGGAUUUAUUGGGCGUAAAGAGCUCGUAGGCGGCUUGUUGCGUCGACUGUGAAAACCCGCGGCUUAACCGCGGGCUUGCAGUUGAUACGGGCAGGCUAGAGUUCGGUAGGGGAGACUGGAAUUCCUGGUGUAGCGGUGAAAUGCGCAGAUAUCAGGAGGAACACCGGUGGCGAAGGCGGGUCUCUGGGCCGAUACUGACGCUGAGGAGCGAAAGCGUGGGGAGCAAACAGG